AGAGUUUGAUCAUGGCUCAGAACGAACGCUGGCGGCAGGCCUAACACAUGCAAGUCGAACGCUCCGCAAGGGGAGUGGCAGACGGGUGAGUAACACGUGGGAACCUUCCCAUCGCUACGGAAUAGCUCAGGGAAACUUGGGGUAAUACCGUAUACGCCCGAAAGGGGAAAGAUUUAUCGGCGAUGGAUGGGCCCGCGGCUGAUUAGCUAGUUGGUGAGGUAACGGCUCACCAAGGCGACGAUCAGUAGCUGGUCUGAGAGGACGACCAGCCACACUGGGACUGAGACACGGCCCAGACUCCUACGGGAGGCAGCAGUGGGGAAUAUUGGACAAUGGGCGCAAGCCUGAUCCAGCCAUGCCGCGUGAGUGACUAAGGUCUUCGGAUUGUAAAGCUCUUUUGGCGGGGACGAUAAUGACGGUACCCGCAGAAUAAGCCCCGGCUAACUUCGUG
RNAcentral lists this ribosomal RNA (451 nucleotides) under uncultured bacterium. RNAcentral's name for it is "bacterial SSU rRNA". It matches the Rfam family "Bacterial small subunit ribosomal RNA", at positions 8 to 507 of the family's 1533-position model. The record is from RNAcentral.